GACGAACGCUGGCGGCGUGCCUAAUACAUGCAAGUAGAACGCUGAAGCGAGGAGCUUACUCUUCUUGGAUGAGUUGCGAACGGGUGAGUAGCGCGUAGGUAACCUGCCUUGUAGCGGGGGAUAACUAUUGGAAACGAUAGCUAAUACCGCAUAACAAUGGAUGACACAUGUCAUUUAUUUGAAAGGGGCAAUUGCUCCACUACAAGAUGGACCUGCGUUGUAUUAGCUAGUAGGUGAGGUAAUGGCUCACCUAGGCGACGAUACAUAGCCGACCUGAGAGGGUGGUCGGCCACACUGGGACUGGGACACGGCCCAGGCUCCCAAGGGAGGGAGCAGUAGGGAAUCUUCGGCAAUGGGGGCAACGCUGACCGAGCAAAGCCGGGUGAGUGAAGGAGGUUUUCGGAUCGGAAAGCUCUGCUGUAAGUCAAGAACGGGUGUGAGAGUGGAAAGUUCACACUGUGACGGUAGCUUACCAGAAAGGGACGGCUAACUACGUG
Molecule: ribosomal RNA, 497 nt
Filed under: uncultured bacterium
Lineage: Bacteria
Description: partial 16S ribosomal RNA
Rfam family: Bacterial small subunit ribosomal RNA
Source: RNAcentral